UUGCCUCAGUAGCGGCGAGUGAAGCGGCAAAAGCUCAAAUUUGAAAUCUGGCGUCUUUGGCGUCCGAGUUGUAAUUUGAAGAAGGUAUCUUUGGGCCCGGCUCUUGUCUAUGUUCCUUGGAACAGGACGUCACAGAGGGUGAGAAUCCCGUGCGAUGAGAUGACCCGGGUCUGUGUAAAGUUCCUUCGACGAGUCGAGUUGUUUGGGAAUGCAGCUCUAAGUGGGUGGUAAAUUCCAUCUAAAGCUAAAUAUUGGCGAGAGACCGAUAGCGAACAAGUACAGUGAUGGAAAGAUGAAAAGAACUUUGAAAAGAGAGUGAAAAAGUACGUGAAAUUGUUGAAAGGGAAGGGCUUGAGAUCAGACUUGGUAUUUUGCAUGCUGCUCUCUCGGGGGCGGCCGCUGCGGUUUACCGGGCCAGCAUCGGUUUGGAGCGGCAGGAUAAUGGCGGAGGAAUGUGGCACGGCUUCUGCUGUGUGUUAUAGCCUCUGACGAUGCUGCCAGCCUAGACCGAGGACUGCGGUUUUUAACCUAGGAUGUUGGCAUAAUGAUCUUAAGUCGCCCGUCUUGAAACACGGACCAAGGAGUCUAACGUCUAUGCGAGUGUUUGGGUGUAAAACCCGUACGCGUAAUGAAAGUGAACGAAGGUGGGGGCCCAUUAGGGUGCACCAUCGACCGAUCCUGAUGUGUUCGGAUGGAUUUGAGUAAGAGCAUAGCUGUUGGGACCCGAAAGAUGGUGAACUAUGCCUGAAUAGGGUGAAGCCAGAGGAAACUCUGGUGGAGGCUCGUAGCGGUUCUGACGUGCAAAUCGAUCGUCGAAUUUGGGUA
This 825-nucleotide ribosomal RNA is filed under the name Candida albicans. RNAcentral's name for it is "partial large subunit ribosomal RNA". It matches the Rfam family "Eukaryotic large subunit ribosomal RNA", at positions 75 to 917 of the family's 3401-position model. The record is from RNAcentral. Lineage: Eukaryota; Fungi; Ascomycota; Pichiomycetes; Serinales; Debaryomycetaceae.